CAGAAAUCAAGAGCCACCUUGGAGCUGACUUUCCAUGAGGUCCCUGCUCCAGGUGUGUCCUUGACAAAAGGGACUCCAAGCCCUGCUUCUAACCCUAAGCCAGUGGCUCUCAACUAGUGGCGAUUGUGCCCCCCAGAGGACACUGGAGACUAGGCCAUGUCUGGAGACAUUCGGGGUUGUCAUAGCUGGGGAUGCUGGCUCCUACCGGCAUCUAGGGGGUGGAGAGGUCAGGGAUGCUGCUGAACGUCCUGCAGUGCCCAGGACAGCCCCCACCACAGUCACCCAGCCCCGAAUGUCACUAGUGCCAAGACUGAGGAAUCCUGACCCCUGAUUCCCCCUAAACCCUGCCACCUCCUCUCACACGGGGCCUGGCCCCACCAACUUAGCGGGGACUUUGUCAGAGGCCAGAGAUUCCAAAUCAAUGCAUCUCAGUGGCUAAGGUCCAUAUUAACUACAUCUCACUUGCUUCUGACAGUGACACAGAUCAGAUGCUGCUGCUGUCGUGGCUGCCACCACAAGAAACAAGAGUGUUGGAGUGCAAAUUCAUUAUCCAGCUGUUAAGAGCGACAGAGCAUGCACACAUCUCUCCCCGACCGGGUUAUCUGAGAGCCAGCCCUGCUGUAUGAUUGAGUGGCUGCCAGCCUCCUCUUCUCUGUAACCUUGACACGCCAGAGCCGGGCCUCCAGUGCACAGGCUAAAAAUCCUAAAGGCAACGGCGGCGGCAACAAAUAGAUGGGUUAAUUUGUUUCAUGCCCCCGUUGUCACCAGGCUCUCGCAGAAUAAAACCACCACCACCACCACCACAACCUCCAUUUGUGGGGUUUAAUACCCCAGCUGCUGGGAAUCAGAUUCAGCCGGAGGAAGAAAAUGUGACGUCGAUGCAGAGAUCCAUUUAUUCGGGCCUCCUCUUCUCAUCAGCAGGCAGGGACAGUGCAUCGACCCAGAGGCCUGGGAGAGGCAGGAAUAAUGAUGCGCCAGAGAGAAUUCUGGCUUCGGGAGAAUCAGAGACUUAACAAAUAUAAUGCUGACAAUAUGACCAUUAUGACACAAGAAACUAUUUGUAUCCAUUGUCCUUUCCUCGCCUGAAAUAACCUAUUGCUUCCUACUCGGUGAUGACAUUUUUCAGGCACCAAGAGUUGCCCGUGGAACAAGAAGUACAUAAACUUCCUUGCUUUGUAGAAAACAGAUUCCGUUUUAUAAGUGGUUUAGUAUUUAGACACUACCUCCAAAGGUUGGGAAGGCCCUUACAAAGCAACAGGAGUCGGCCAGAAUGAAAAGAAUCAGCCGAUGGCUGGGAGGCGGAGGCUUCAGUGAGCCGAGAUCGCACCACUGCACUCCAGCCUGGGCGACAAAAGUGAGACUCCAUCUCAAAAAAAUAAAAAUAAAAAAAUAAAAAUAAAUAAAGGAAUGAUAGACUUGCCAAUCUGCCUUGGAGAAGCAACAGACGGCUAAAUCGUAGGGUUCCUGGCAUUGCAUUUGCCCACAUUUGCCAGCAGAUGGCGACGUGAUCCUGCAAUGUUGCAUUAGUGCAACCCCGGGCAAUGAAAGGUCAGGGACAGGGCACCUGAAGCUGGCUACUUGGAGACUUGGGAACCUCAUCUAUUGCUUUGCAGAGGUCCGAACACCACUAAACACAUUUGGGAGGGAGGAACAGAGGAAGGUCGACCAAUGACGUGUUUAAAACAGCUGCAAGGAUCGGAUGAAAUUUGCAAUUGGCUUGAGCUUGAACUCCAGAUAAUCUCCAGAAUAAAGACAUGGGGGUGGGAGUUAAAACAAAGAACUUGAUGCAAAUUAGGGUCAAACAAUGAUCCCCUUAUGGCACAUCCAUUCCAAGGAAUAUCUUCAGUCAUUAGAAAACCAAGUGGUGGUCUGAGCACGGUGGCUCAUGCCUGUAAUCCCAGGGCUUUGAGAGGCUGAGGCAGGCAGAUCACUUGAGGCUGAUUCAAAACCAGCCUGGCCAACAUGGCAAAACCCCAUCUUUACUAAAAACACAAAAAUUAGCCGGGCAUGGUGGCAUGCACCUGUAAUCCCAGCUACUCUGGAGGCUGAGGCAGGAGAAUCUCUUGAACCUCAGAGGCAGAGGUUGCAGUGAGCUGAGACCACACCACUGCACUCCAGCCUGGGUGACCCAGUGAGACUCUGUCUCAAAAAAAGAAAAAAAGAAAAAAAAAUUAGACAAAUUGAACUUCAUCAAAAUUAAACUUCUAUGCUUCCAAGAACGCCAUCAAAAAAGUGAAAAAAACCAACCACAGAAAGGGAGGAAAUAUUUGCAAAUCUGAUCUAGAAUAUAUAAAGAAUUCUAACAACUCAAAAAUGAAAAGACAUAAAAGCUAAUUUUAAAAUGGGCAAAGGAUUUAGAUACAUCUCUCUCCAGAGAAGAUACACAAAUGGCCAAUAAGCACAUGAAAAGAUGUUCAACAUCAUCAGCCAUCAGAGAUGUGCAAGUCAAAACCAUCCUGCGAUAGACCCCACUUUACAUCCACUAGGAUGGCUAUAAUUUUAAAAAGCAGACAAUGACAAGUGUUGGCAAGGAUGUGAUGAGAAAUUGGAAUCCUUGUACAUUGUGGGUGGAAAUGCAAAAUGGUAUAGCUGCUUUGGCAAACAGUCUAGUAGUUCCUCAAAAGGGGAAACACUGAUCAAAUUUGACCCAGCAAUUCCACUCUUUCAUAUCCCAAGAAAACUAAAAACAUAAUUCAUGUCCACGAAAAACUUGGACAUGAAUUUUAAAGCAGCAUUAUUGGCCAGGUGUAGUGGCUCACGCUUGUAAUUCUAGCACUUUGGGAGGCCAAGGCGGGCAGAUCACUUGAGGUCAGGAGUUCAAGACCAGCCUGGCCAACAUGGCGAAACCCUGUCUUUACUAAAAAAAAAAAAAAUACAAAAAUUAGCCAGGCAUGGUGGCACAUGCCUGUAAUCCCACUAUUUGGGAGGCUGAGGCAGGAGAUAACUUGAACCCGGGAGGCAGAGGUGGCAGUGAGCCAAGAUCGCACCACUGCACUCCAGCCUGGGCAAUAGAGCGAGACUGUCUCAAAAAAAAAAAAAAAAAGAAAUAAAGAAAAGAACAGAAAAAAAUCAUUAUUCAUGAGAGCCAAAAGCGGAAACAAUCCAGAUGUCCAUCAACAGAUGAGUAUUUUAACAAAAUGUGGUAUAGCCACACAAUGGAAUACUAUUCGGUCAUACAAAGGGAUGGAGUACUGGUCCAUGCUACAACAUGAUUGAACCUUGAAAACAUCAUUUUAAGUGAAGGAAGCCAGACACAAAAGACUCUACUAAAAAGACCCUGUCUCCACUAAAAAUACAAAAAUUAGCCGGGCAUGGUGGCAUGUGCCUGUAGUCCCAGCAACUCGGGAGGUUGAGGCAGGAGAAUCACCCAAACCCGGGAGGUGGAGGUUGCAGUGAGCUGAGAUUGUGCCACUGCACUCCAGCCUGGCUGACAAGAGCGGAACUCCAUCUCAAUCAAUCAAUCAAUCAAUCAAUCAAUAAAAUUGAUAGUGGUAAUGGAUGCACAACUCUGUGAAUAAAGUCAUUGACUUGUAUACUUCAAAUGGGUGAAUUGUAAGUAAAUUAUAUCUCAAUAAAGCUGUUACCAAAAAAUCAAAUGCUAGACUAUUUAACAUGGAAAACCAUUCCCAUUACAUUGUUAGGUGAAGAAAGGGAGAGAGAGAGAAUGGGGCCCCAGGGCUGCUGGGUUCCAUAGCUCCCUGUGAAUGAUGGCCCUUGGAGAUGCAGAAUGAAAUGUGGGAUUUCACCCCUCUCCAUGAUCCAUGCAUGCGUGGUGGAAAUUGACUCUGGCUGCCCAACUCCGCAGUGGCGUGCAACUCACUUUCUCUCCAACUCAUCCUUCAAAGCCCUUUAAGGGAUAUUUGGUUACAACAUGGUAAAAUAUAAUGAGAUUCCAAUUUUUGUUUCUAUUAAAUAUAUUAAUAUAUAAGCGCAUGUGUGCAUGAAAAUAGAUACACAUCAAAGGAUAACAGUGGUUGUCUACAGGUAGAAAGGUUAUGGAGCUUUUAUUUUCUCCUUCAUAUUUGUAUUGCUCUAAUUUUCUGUAAUGCAGUGUAUUAAUUUGCAAUUAGAAAAAUAUAUAUAUGUAUUUUAAAAUGUGUCUAUAACCCCAACACUUUGGGAGGCCAAGGUGGGCAGAUUGCUAGAGUCUAGGAGUUCAAGACCACUUUGAGCAACAUGGCAAAACCCCGUCUCUACAAAAAUACAAAAAAUUAGCCGGGCAUGGUGGUGUGCACUUGUAGUCCCAGAUACUCCGGAGGCUGAGGUGGGAGGAUCACUUGAGCCUGGGAGGUUGAGGCUGCAGUGAACCGUGAUCACACCAGUGUACUCCAGCCUGAGUGACAGAGCAAGACCCUGUCUCAAAAAAAAAAAAAAUUAAAAGAUAAAAAUAAAAACAUAUUGUUUUAUUCUGUAAGUCUUCUCUGCCUGCCUCACUCACAUAGUAACACUCCUUUUAUCCUCACAUUUAUAACCCUGUUUAACAGGUAGUGGCAUAAUUGCUUAUCUUCUCCAACAGACAUCUGAAGACAGAUAUCAUUCCUAAUUUAUCAUUCCAUCCAAAACCCAGAAAUGCCUGCCUUUGAUAUGCCUGGUGAACAUAGUACGCAUUACCAAAUACUAAGCAGUAUCUUCUGUGUGAAGCCUACAUUAAAAUUUUAUUCAAGACUUUGUACCCUUUGAGGAGACAGUAAUACAGUCCCUUCAAUGCUUUAUAUUAUCAUGAAGGAUUAUUUCCCUUUUUGCCCUUGCUGCCAGGAAGCUUACUUGCAUCAACUGUGUUGCUGGCUUACAGUUGCACAUCUGAUUCUAACUUUCUUCCUUGAGUCUAAUGUGUGGCAUUUCCUCAACUUCUUUUUGAAAAUAAACCAGCUACACUCAGUGUAGCUCUAUGCAUGAGGUAGGAAUAAAUAAAUAAAUAGUGGCUACUCUGUUGAGGAUAAAAUAUUUUCUUUGGAAAUCCAAAGUGGUAUUUUAUCCUAAGAGGGAUGGUAGCAUCAACAUCUAAGGGUGCUCAGGCACAAUGUGUCCAGAACCAGAGGCUUGGAGCAACUCAGUUUUAAGCCCCGGAAGGGAUGAAGCAUCUUCCAGUUCUGUAUACUCCCCAAGUACCUACACAGAGCUGGGCGAAGAGUAAGCACCCUUUAAAUACCUGCUGCGUGAAUACUCAGGGCUCAAAAUUCCGUAUCCUUGCCAUGCAAGGGGUCACAAAGUUUAACCCAGGGUUUCUCAGCCUUAGCACUUCUGACACUCAGGCCAGUGAGUUCUUUGUUGUGGGCUGGUUGUCCUGGGUGUUGUGGGAUGUUGAACAACAUCCUUGGCCUCUACCCACCAGAUGCCAGUAGCACCCCUGCACAUAAAUUUUUUGACAAUCAAAAAUGUCUUCGAACAUUGCCAAAUAUCCCCUGGGGGCAAAAUCUCCCUCUGGUUAAACAGCAUGGGUUUUUGCCAGGUGUGGUGGCAUGGGCCUGUAGUCCCGGCUACUUGGGAGGCUGAGGUGGGAGGAUCACCUGAGAUCAGGGAUUGGAGACCAGCCUGGGCAACACAGCAAGAUCCCAUCUCUAAAAAAAAAAAAAUUAAAAAUUAGUCAGGCAUGGUGGCUCAUGCCUGUAGUCCCAGCUACUCAGGUGACUAAGAUGGGAGGAUCACUUGAGCCCAGGAGUUCGAGGCUGCAGUGAGCAGUGAUUGUGCCACUGCACUCCAGCCUGGGCCACAAAGCAAAACUUUGUCUCAAAACAAACAAACAAAGAAACAAAAACAACAACAAAAUGUCUUCAAACAUUGCUUGAAGUGGGUGGUGUAAAAUCUCCCACUGAUUAAACAGCACUGGUUUCAAGCAACACCUUCCAGGUCCUAGAAGCCACCAACUACAAUUCUAGAAUACCAGGGCUGGAAGGACCCCAUGCAUUAUCCUGUUGACAUCCUUUCAUAGACAGGCCAAUGGGCCCAGAAAUAAGAGACUGAGGCACAGCCCCUGCCCACAGGAAACAACAAAGGGUGAUCAAAACGUGCCAAGGCAACGCGCUGCCCCGGCCCUGCUUGCACGCAGAUUGGAGUUGCAGGUGGCUCCUCCAUGUCAUGGUGUAAACUUGUGCUAAAAUUAACCUGAGCGUCUGAGACUUCCUCUAUAAAAUGACAAAAAAGAACACCUGGC
RNAcentral lists this long non-coding RNA (6151 nucleotides) under Homo sapiens (human). RNAcentral describes it as "HSALNT0195622". The record is from RNAcentral. Lineage: Eukaryota; Metazoa; Chordata; Mammalia; Primates; Hominidae.